AUACAGAGAUGGCAGGCGUUGUUCGGAAUUAUUGGGCGUAAAGAGCGCGUAGGCGGCCUUGUAAGUCGGGUGUGAAAUCCCCCGGCUCACCCAGGGAACUGCAUUCGAUACUGCUGGGCUUGAGGACAGGAGGGGAGAGUGGAACUUCUGGUGGAGCGGUGAAAUGCGUAGAUAUCAGAAGGAACACCGGUGGCGAAAGCGACUCUCUGGCCUGUUUCUGACGCUGAGGUGCGAAAGCUAGGGGAGCAAACGGGAUUAGAAACCCGAGUAGUCC
RNAcentral lists this ribosomal RNA (274 nucleotides) under uncultured bacterium. Its description in RNAcentral is "partial 16S ribosomal RNA". It matches the Rfam family "Bacterial small subunit ribosomal RNA", at positions 523 to 796 of the family's 1533-position model. The record is from RNAcentral.